CGGAGGACUGUGGAACAGCCUCUCUGUGGGAGCUGCCCUCUGCCUCCGAAAGAGCCAACUAGUGAGGACACUCAGCCCCCAGCUCAGUGGGACCUGGAUUCCAGAGGCCCUGGCCCAGAUCUUCACGCAGCUGGUCCAGGACCUCGGUGGAGGCAGCAGUGGGGGCAGGGUGCAUGGAUAUCUUCCCCACUCAGGCCAGCCCGGAGGGAGUACGGGAGGCACUCACCGUCUUCAGAGCCACAAUGAACUCCUCCCGAGAGAUCCUCUGGUUCUCACCCCAGUCCACCUUGCUAAAUAUCUCCAGGAUCUUGAUCUUGCGUCUGCGAAGAAAAGGGAGUUCCUCAUUUUUCUUCCAACCUCACAACUGUGAUCCUCACAGUGGCACUAGAGCACCUGCCUGGCACAUCUUGGCCCUCGACAAACAUGCGUCCAUGAACGAAUGAACAAUGAGCUUUUUAAAAUGCCCCAUAGAUGGACUGCCAGGAAUCAUCCCUCCUCGGGUGAUUUUAAGAUACGGUCACAAGUUCCUCCAUUAUUCCCCUCUGGGGUAGAGCCUGACUCCCCUCCCCUCGAGCGUGGACCGCACUUGAUGACUUGCGUCUGUCAAAUAGAAUACGGGGAAAGUGAUCAUGUGAUUCUCCUGAAACCACGAUCUCCUGAGAUGAGGUCAUUAGAGGCAUUGCAGGCCUCCUCCUUGCUCUGUCUCUUGGACCGUUCCCUCUGGGAGACACUGGCUGCCGGGUGGUGAGGACGUUCGAGCAGCCCUGUGGAGAGGUCCCUGUGGCCAGGAGCUGAGGUCCCCCUGCCAACAGCCACGUGAGCGAGCUCGUGUGGGGGUGGAUCUUCCUGCCUCCGUCAAGCCUCCAGAUGUCUGUGGCACGUGCCUGUCACUUGCGAUGAAAGCCAGAGCCACCCGCGAAGCUCCCCCCAGAUUCCUGACUCUCAGAAACAGUGGGGUAACAAACAUUUGUGGCUUUAAAUGUUUGGGGACAUUGGUUAUGCAGCAAUAAAGAACCAGUACACACCCCUUUGGGGACUUCUCUGCUCCUCUUUGAAAUGGGGCCAACGACCCCUAUCCUGAGGGAAGGAAAUGACAGUACGCCCCUAGCACCUCAGGUGUCUUCGUCAGCAAAUGGGGCAGCUCACCUUGGUGGCUUUGGU
Molecule: long non-coding RNA, 1161 nt
Organism: Ailuropoda melanoleuca (giant panda)
Lineage: Eukaryota; Metazoa; Chordata; Mammalia; Carnivora; Ursidae
Exons: 3
Source: RefSeq, a predicted model, not a curated record